GUAAUGGUUUCGACAGGGAUCAUGAAGCGAAAGAAGCGAGCCGAUAGCCAUACGUAAAAUGGCAAAAUUAAAUUUAAUUGCUAAAGACGAAAAAUUAGCAUUAGCUGCCUAGUUGCAGCUAGUCUUACCUAGCGCACCUACACGUUGGGAUUAAGGCUUCAAACUAUGUAGGAAACGGCAUAUACUAAGCUUUGCGUAUGUGUACGUAUCAUGAAGCUACUAAGACAAUUAGAGUGUUUGUUCUCGGGUUGUUGAGGGAAAUCUAAAUAACAAACUACGCUCGUAGAAGAGUCGGGGAUUGGUUUUUGGACAGGGGUUCGACUCCCCUCUAGUCCACU
This 338-nucleotide transfer-messenger RNA is filed under the name bovine gut metagenome. It matches the Rfam family "transfer-messenger RNA". From Rfam's summary of the family: Bacterial tmRNA, also known as 10Sa RNA or SsrA, is named for its dual tRNA and mRNA-like properties. Its role is to liberate the mRNA from a stalled ribosome. The record is from RNAcentral.